ACAGAGAAAAUGUUCUCUGCGCUGACUUGCUAGCUCCCCUCUAAAGCCCUCUGACCGCGAAGACUAAUUGCCUACCACAGCGCUUGACUUGCAUGAUCACAAAGGGCAGCGGCAAAUCGGGGACGGACAAGAAAAGGUGUACUCACUGAGUGCAUAGGCCCUGACAGGAGGUGGGUGUCCUGACCCAGCAUGUUGGACAUCAUGAGGGCGGGCAGCUCAGGGU
Molecule: unclassified non-coding RNA, 223 nt
Filed under: Hevea brasiliensis (rubber tree)
Lineage: Eukaryota; Viridiplantae; Streptophyta; Magnoliopsida; Malpighiales; Euphorbiaceae
Source: RNAcentral